Molecule: long non-coding RNA, 302 nt
Filed under: Olea europaea subsp. europaea
Lineage: Eukaryota; Viridiplantae; Streptophyta; Magnoliopsida; Lamiales; Oleaceae
Source: RNAcentral
CGCCCUUGGGGUGAUCUCGUAAUUCCUACGGGGUGGAGAUGAUGGGGUCGGUCCAUGGAUUUUCCUUCCUUUUCUUUUGCCGCAUUUCGCUCAAAGGGUUGAAAGGAGAUAGUGCAUCAAGUUGGUCGCAAGGGCCAACUUGAUUCUCUUCCCUGAAUUAGGUGUUAAUGAAACUUUUCAUAGGAAUCUUUCACAAACUCCCAACUAAUACUAAUAUUAUCAACUAAUCAGAAUGUUUGAUUAUUAGACCAUGGUAUUUGAUUUACCAAAUACAAUAAAAAGGUGUCUGACCUGAUUCAUAG